This 651-nucleotide ribosomal RNA is filed under the name Acinetobacter baumannii Naval-18. RNAcentral describes it as "bacterial SSU rRNA". It matches the Rfam family "Bacterial small subunit ribosomal RNA", at positions 55 to 700 of the family's 1533-position model. The record is from RNAcentral. Lineage: Bacteria; Pseudomonadati; Pseudomonadota; Gammaproteobacteria; Moraxellales; Moraxellaceae.
AUGCAAGUCGAGCGGGGGAAGGUAGCUUGCUACCGGACCUAGCGGCGGACGGGUGAGUAAUGCUUAGGAAUCUGCCUAUUAGUGGGGGACAACAUCUCGAAAGGGAUGCUAAUACCGCAUACGUCCUACGGGAGAAAGCAGGGGAUCUUCGGACCUUGCGCUAAUAGAUGAGCCUAAGUCGGAUUAGCUAGUUGGUGGGGUAAAGGCCUACCAAGGCGACGAUCUGUAGCGGGUCUGAGAGGAUGAUCCGCCACACUGGGACUGAGACACGGCCCAGACUCCUACGGGAGGCAGCAGUGGGGAAUAUUGGACAAUGGGGGGAACCCUGAUCCAGCCAUGCCGCGUGUGUGAAGAAGGCCUUAUGGUUGUAAAGCACUUUAAGCGAGGAGGAGGCUACUUUAGUUAAUACCUAGAGAUAGUGGACGUUACUCGCAGAAUAAGCACCGGCUAACUCUGUGCCAGCAGCCGCGGUAAUACAGAGGGUGCGAGCGUUAAUCGGAUUUACUGGGCGUAAAGCGUGCGUAGGCGGCUUAUUAAGUCGGAUGUGAAAUCCCCGAGCUUAACUUGGGAAUUGCAUUCGAUACUGGUGAGCUAGAGUAUGGGAGAGGAUGGUAGAAUUCCAGGUGUAGCGGUGAAAUGCGUAGAGAUCUG